CUAAGUACCCCGAGGAAAAGAAAUCAACCGAGAUUCCCCCAGUAGCGGCGAGCGAACGGGGAGGAGCCCAGAGCCUGAAUCAGUGUGUGUGUUAGUGGAAGCGUCUGGAAAGGCGCGCGAUACAGGGUGACAGCCCCGUACACAAAAAUGCACAUACUGUGAGCUCGAUGAGUAGGGCGGGACACGUGGUAUCCUGUCUGAAUAUGGGGGGACCAUCCUCCAAGGCUAAAUACUCCUGACUGACCGAUAGUGAACCAGUACCGUGAGGGAAAGGCGAAAAGAACCCCGGCGAGGGGAGUGAAAAAGAACCUGAAACCGUGUACGUACAAGCAGUGGGAGCCUCUUAAUGGGGUGACUGCGUACCUUUUGUAUAAUGGGUCAGCGACUUAUAUUCUGUAGCAAGGUUAACCGAAUAGGGGAGCCGAAGGGAAACCGAGUCUUAACUGGGCGUUAAGUUGCAGGGUAUAGACCCGAAACCCGGUGAUCUAGCCAUGGGCAGGUUGAAGGUUGGGUAACACUAACUGGAGGACCGAACCGACUAAUGUUGAAAAAUUAGCGGAUGACUUGUGGCUGGGGGUGAAAGGCCAAUCAAACCGGGAGAUAGCUGGUUCUCCCCGAAAGCUAUUUAGGUAGCGCCUCGUGAAUUCAUCUCCGGGGGUAGAGCACUGUUUCGGCAAGGGGGUCAUCCCGACUUACCAACCCGAUGCAAACUGCGAAUACCGGAGAAUGUUAUCACGGGAGACACACGGCGGGUGCUAACGUCCGUCGUGAAGAGGGAAACAACCCAGACCGCCAGCUAAGGUCCCAAAGUCAUGGUUAAGUGGGAAACGAUGUGGGAAGGCCCAGACAGCCAGGAUGUUGGCUUAGAAGCAGCCAUCAUUUAAAGAAAGCGUAAUAGCUCACUGGUCGAGUCGGCCUGCGCGGAAGAUGUAACGGGGCUAAACCAUGCACCGAAGCUGCGGCAGCGACACUAUGUGUUGUUGGGUAGGGGAGCG
This 995-nucleotide ribosomal RNA is filed under the name Escherichia coli. Its description in RNAcentral is "partial 23S ribosomal RNA". It matches the Rfam family "Bacterial large subunit ribosomal RNA", at positions 202 to 1238 of the family's 2925-position model. Lineage: Bacteria; Pseudomonadati; Pseudomonadota; Gammaproteobacteria; Enterobacterales; Enterobacteriaceae. The record is from RNAcentral.